UCCCUGGUGGUCCAGUGGUUAAGACUCUGUGCUUCCAAUGCAGAGGGCACAGGUUCGAUCCCUGGUUGGGGAA
Molecule: transfer RNA, 73 nt
Filed under: Bos taurus (domestic cattle)
Lineage: Eukaryota; Metazoa; Chordata; Mammalia; Artiodactyla; Bovidae
Also listed under: 5 other names
Rfam family: tRNA
About the family: Transfer RNA (tRNA) molecules are approximately 80 nucleotides in length. Their secondary structure includes four short double-helical elements and three loops (D, anti-codon, and T loops). Further hydrogen bonds mediate the characteristic L-shaped molecular structure. tRNAs have two regions of fundamental functional importance: the anti-codon, which is responsible for specific mRNA codon recognition, and the 3' end, to which the tRNAs corresponding amino acid is attached (by aminoacyl-tRNA synthetases). tRNAs cope with the degeneracy of the genetic code in two manners: having more than one tRNA (with a specific anti-codon) for a particular amino acid; and 'wobble' base-pairing, i.e. permitting non-standard base-pairing at the 3rd anti-codon position.
Source: Rfam by way of RNAcentral